AACGACUCUCGGCAACGGAUAUCUCGGCUCUCGCAUCGAUGAAGAACGUAGCGAAAUGCGAUACUUGGUGUGAAUUGCAGAAUCCCGUGAACCAUCGAGUCUUUGAACGCAAGUUGCACCCAAAGCCUUCCGGCCGAGGGCACGUCUGCCUGGGCGUCACGC
Molecule: ribosomal RNA, 162 nt
Filed under: Opuntia cubensis
Lineage: Eukaryota; Viridiplantae; Streptophyta; Magnoliopsida; Caryophyllales; Cactaceae
Description: 5.8S ribosomal RNA
Rfam family: 5.8S ribosomal RNA
About the family: 5.8S ribosomal RNA (5.8S rRNA) is a component of the large subunit of the eukaryotic ribosome. It is transcribed by RNA polymerase I as part of the 45S precursor that also contains 18S and 28S rRNA.
Source: RNAcentral